GACGAACGCUGGCGGCGUGCCUAAUACAUGCAAGUGGGACGCAAGGGAACACACUGUGCUUGCACACCGUGUUUUCUUGAGUCGCGAACGGGUGAGUAACGCGUAGGUAACCUGCCUAUUAGCGGGGGAUAACUAUUGGAAACGAUAGCUAAUACCGCAUAAUAUUAAUUAUUGCAUGAUAAUUGAUUGAAAGAUGCAAGCGCAUCACUAGUAGAUGGACCUGCGUUGUAUUAGCUAGUUGGUAAGGUAAGAGCUUACCAAGGCGACGAUACAUAGCCGACCUGAGAGGGUGAUCGGCCACACUGGGACUGAGACACGGCCCAGACUCCUACGGGAGGCAGCAGUAGGGAAUCUUCGGCAAUGGACGAAAGUCUGACCGAGCAACGCCGCGUGAGUGAAGAAGGUUUUCGGAUCGUAAAGCUCUGUUGUAAGUCAAGAAC
RNAcentral lists this ribosomal RNA (440 nucleotides) under Streptococcus mutans. RNAcentral's name for it is "bacterial SSU rRNA". It matches the Rfam family "Bacterial small subunit ribosomal RNA", at positions 28 to 450 of the family's 1533-position model. Lineage: Bacteria; Bacillati; Bacillota; Bacilli; Lactobacillales; Streptococcaceae. The record is from RNAcentral.